GGGUUGUGAGGUUAAGCGACUAAGCGUACACGGUGGAUGCCCUGGCAGUCAGAGGCGAUGAAGGACGUGCUAAUCUGCGAAAAGCGUCGGUAAGGUGAUAUGAACCGUUACAGCCGGCGAUGUCCGAAUGGGGAAACCCAGUGCAAUUCGUUGCACUAUCGUUAACUGAAUACAUAGGUUAACGAGGCGAACCGGGGGAACUGAAACAUCUAAGUACCCCGAGGAAAAGAAAUCAACCGAGAUUCCCCCAGUAGCGGCGAGCGAACGGGGAGCAGCCCAGAGUCUGAAUCAGCUUGUGUGUUAGUGGAACGGUCUGGAAAGUCCGACGGUACAGGGUGAUAGUCCCGUACACCAAAAUGCACAGGUUGUGAACUCGAAGAGUAGGGCGGGACACGUGGUAUCCUGUCUGAAUAUGGGGGGACCAUCCUCCAAGGCUAAAUACUCCUGACUGACCGAUAGUGAACCAGUACCGUGAGGGAAAGGCGAAAAGAACCCCGGCGAGGGGAGUGAAAAAGAACCUGAAACCGUGUACGUACAAGCAGUGGGAGCACCUUCGGGUGUGACUGCGUACCUUUUGUAUAAUGGGUCAGCGACUUAUAUUCUGUAGCAAGGUUAACCGUAUAGGGGAGCCGCAGGGAAACCGAGUCUUAACUGGGCGUUAAGUUGCAGGGUAUAGACCCGAAACCCGGUGAUCUAGCCAUGGGCAGGUUGAAGGUUGGGUAACACUAACUGGAGGACCGAACCGACUAAUGUUGAAAAAUUAGCGGAUGACUUGUGGCUGGGGGUGAAAGGCCAAUCAAACCGGGAGAUAGCUGGUUCUCCCCGAAAGCUAUUUAGGUAGCGCCUCGUGAACUCAUCUUCGGGGGUAGAGCACUGUUUCGGCUAGGGGGUCAUCCCGACUUACCAACCCGAUGCAAACUACGAAUACCGAAGAAUGUUAUCACGGGAGACACACGGCGGGUGCUAACGUCCGUCGUGAAGAGGGAAACAACCCAGACCGCCAGCUAAGGUCCCAAAGUCAUGGUUAAGUGGGAAACGAUGUGGGAAGGCACAGACAGCCAGGAUGUUGGCUUAGAAGCAGCCAUCAUUUAAAGAAAGCGUAAUAGCUCACUGGUCGAGUCGGCCUGCGCGGAAGAUGUAACGGGGCUAAACCAUGCACCGAAGCUGCGGCAGCGACACUAUGUGUUGUUGGGUAGGGGAGCGUUCUGUAAGCCUGCGAAGGUGUGCUGUGAGGCAUGCUGGAGGUAUCAGAAGUGCGAAUGCUGACAUAAGUAACGAUAAAGCGGGUGAAAAGCCCGCUCGCCGGAAGACCAAGGGUUCCUGUCCAACGUUAAUCGGGGCAGGGUGAGUCGACCCCUAAGGCGAGGCCGAAAGGCGUAGUCGAUGGGAAACAGGUUAAUAUUCCUGUACUUGGUGUUACUGCGAAGGGGGGACGGAGAAGGCUAUGUUAGCCGGGCGACGGUUGUCCCGGUUUAAGCAUGUAGGCUGGUUAUCCAGGCAAAUCCGGAUAAUCAAGGCUGAGGUGUGAUGACGAGGCACUACGGUGCUGAAGUAACAAAUGCCCUGCUUCCAGGAAAAGCCUCUAAGCAUCAGGUAACAUCAAAUCGUACCCCAAACCGACACAGGUGGUCAGGUAGAGAAUACCAAGGCGCUUGAGAGAACUCGGGUGAAGGAACUAGGCAAAAUGGUGCCGUAACUUCGGGAGAAGGCACGCUGGUGUGUAGGUGAAGUCCCUGCGGAUGGAGCUGAGACCAGUCGAAGAUACCAGCUGGCUGCAACUGUUUAUUAAAAACACAGCACUGUGCAAACACGAAAGUGGACGUAUACGGUGUGACGCCUGCCCGGUGCCGGAAGGUUAAUUGAUGGGGUUAUCCGUAAGGAGAAGCUCUUGAUCGAAGCCCCGGUAAACGGCGGCCGUAACUAUAACGGUCCUAAGGUAGCGAAAUUCCUUGUCGGGUAAGUUCCGACCUGCACGAAUGGCGUAAUGAUGGCCAGGCUGUCUCCACCCGAGACUCAGUGAAAUUGAACUCGCUGUGAAGAUGCAGUGUACCCGCGGCAAGACGGAAAGACCCCGUGAACCUUUACUAUAGCUUGACACUGAACAUUGAGCCUUGAUGUGUAGGAUAGGUGGGAGGCUUUGAAGCGUGGACGCCAGUCUGCGUAGAGCCAACCUUGAAAUACCACCCUUUAAUGUUUGAUGUUCUAACGUUGGCCCCUGACCGGGGUUGCGGACAGUGUCUGGUGGGUAGUUUGACUGGGGCGGUCUCCUCCCAAAGCGUAACGGAGGAGCACGAAGGUUAGCUAAUCCUGGUCGGACAUCAGGAGGUUAGUGCAAUGGCAUAAGCUAGCUUGACUGCGAGCGUGACGGCGCGAGCAGGUGCGAAAGCAGGUCAUAGUGAUCCGGUGGUUCUGAAUGGAAGGGCCAUCGCUCAACGGAUAAAAGGUACUCCGGGGAUAACAGGCUGAUACCGCCCAAGAGUUCAUAUCGACGGCGGUGUUUGGCACCUCGAUGUCGGCUCAUCACAUCCUGGGGCUGAAGUAGGUCCCAAGGGUAUGGCUGUUCGCCAUUUAAAGUGGUACGCGAGCUGGGUUUAGAACGUCGUGAGACAGUUCGGUCCCUAUCUGCCGUGGGCGCUGGAGAAUUGAGGGGGGCUGCUCCUAGUACGAGAGGACCGGAGUGGACGCAUCACUGGUGUUCGGGUUGUCAUGCCAAUGGCACUGCCCGGUAGCUAAAUGCGGAAGAGAUAAGUGCUGAAAGCAUCUAAGCACGAAACUUGCCCCGAGAUGAGUUCUCCCUGAGACUAUAAGUCUCCUGAAGGAACGUUAAAGACGAUGACGUUGAUAGGCCGGGUGUGUAAGCGCAGCGAUGCGUUGAGCUAACCGGUACUAAUGAACCGUGAGGCUUAACCUUACAACGCCGAAG
Molecule: ribosomal RNA, 2923 nt
Filed under: Klebsiella pneumoniae
Lineage: Bacteria; Pseudomonadati; Pseudomonadota; Gammaproteobacteria; Enterobacterales; Enterobacteriaceae
Description: bacterial LSU rRNA
Rfam family: Bacterial large subunit ribosomal RNA
Source: RNAcentral